Molecule: ribosomal RNA, 433 nt
Filed under: uncultured bacterium
Lineage: Bacteria
Description: bacterial SSU rRNA
Rfam family: Bacterial small subunit ribosomal RNA
Source: RNAcentral
CAGGCCUAACACAUGCAAGUCGAACGCCCCGCAAGGGGAGUGGCAGACGGGUGAGUAACGCGUGGGAAUCUACCCUGGUCGGCGGGAUAGCUCCGGGAAACUGGAAUUAAUACCGCAUGCGCCCUGAGGGGCAAAGGUUUACCGGAUCGGGAUGAGCCCGCGUCGGAUUAGCUAGUUGGUGGGGUAAAGGCCUACCAAGGCGACGAUCCGUAGCUGGUCUAAGAGGAUGAUCAGCCACAUUGGGACUGAGACACGGCCCAAACUCCUACGGGAGGCAGCAGUGGGGAAUAUUGGACAAUGGGCGCAAGCCUGAUCCAGCCAUGCCGCGUGAGUGAUGAAGGCCCUAGGGUUGUAAAGCUCUUUCACCGGGGACGAUAAUGACGGUACCCGGAGAAGAAGCCCCGGCUAACUUCGUGCCAGCAGCCGCGGUAAU